RNAcentral lists this long non-coding RNA (767 nucleotides) under Prunus dulcis (almond). Its description in RNAcentral is "sRNA ncRNA". Lineage: Eukaryota; Viridiplantae; Streptophyta; Magnoliopsida; Rosales; Rosaceae. The record is from RNAcentral.
CCCCAAUCCUCAGCAACCCUAAACCAGUCGGCCACCAAAACUCGCGCCUACCUAUCCAGCCGGCAGCAACCCCCUCUCCUUCUCACCACCGGCAAAGCCUCCUUUUCUCUACCUCUGUCCCCUCUUCUCUCUCUCCCCCCUGAUUUCUCUGCUUCCUUCUCGAUCUCCCUCUCUUUCAAAGAAGAAGAGCAGGGGAAGAAUAUAGAUCUUGAUCCAAAAUCAAGCGGGAGAAAGAGAGUUACCGACGGCGAGCAGGAGUGGGGGCUGUGUGGUCAGGAUGGGGUUGUUGACGGAUUAGGUGUGGGUGGGAGUUUGAUGUUGGGUUUUUUAUUGGUUAUUAUUAUUAUUAUAUUUUAGCAGAAGUUAUUUCUUAUCCAAGCCCCAAACAUGGCUUCGCAUCUGCUUCAGAGCCUCUGCCUCAUCUGGCUUCCUUCCUACAAAAUUUAUGAGAAAGCGAAACAGAGCUUGAAGUUGAGAAACCUUGCUGGGUCUUUUUUUUUUUUUUUUAUUCAUCAAUUGAAGUUGAUUUCUCUUAUGCUCUUUCCCUUCCUACAAAAUUUAAUUAAAAGUUAACAUUGUUAACUUAGAGUACAUAUAAUGAAUUCAUAUUUCAGUAAUUUUGAUUGAGAUCUGUGGAUCCAAUAGUCCACAGGACUUAGGAAGGAAGAAAGGAUUUGGUUGGUCUGACUCUGAGCUAGGUAUUCAUGGAGCAUGGAUCAAUGGAGUACUCCGGCAAACAACGUUAUUGGAUGUUAGAAAUCAAACUC